RNAcentral lists this ribosomal RNA (492 nucleotides) under uncultured bacterium. RNAcentral describes it as "partial 16S ribosomal RNA". It matches the Rfam family "Bacterial small subunit ribosomal RNA", at positions 29 to 507 of the family's 1533-position model. The record is from RNAcentral.
AGUGAACGCUGGCGGUAGGCCUAACACAUGCAAGUCGAACGGCAGCACAGUAGGAGCUUGCUCUUACGGGUGGCGAGUGGCGGACGGGUGAGGAAUACAUCGGAAUCUACUUUUUCGUGGGGGAUAACGUAGGGAAACUUACGCUAAUACCGCAUACGACCUACGGGUGAAAGCAGGGGAUCUUCGGACCUUGCGCGAUUGGAUGAGCCGAUGUCGGAUUAGCUAGUUGGCGGGGUAAAGGCCCACCAAGGCGACGAUCCGUAGCUGGUCUGAGAGGAUGAUCAGCCACACUGGAACUGAGACACGGUCCAGACUCCUACGGGAGGCAGCAGUGGGGAAUAUUGGACAAUGGGCGCAAGCCUGAUCCAGCCAUACCGCGUGGGUGAAGAAGGCCUUCGGGUUGUAAAGCCCUUUUGUUGGGAAAGAAAAGCAGCAGGUUAAUACCCCGCUGUUCUGACGGUACCCAAAGAAUAAGCACCGGCUAACUUCGUG